Molecule: ribosomal RNA, 209 nt
Filed under: uncultured bacterium
Lineage: Bacteria
Description: partial 16S ribosomal RNA
Rfam family: Bacterial small subunit ribosomal RNA
Source: RNAcentral
UGCGUAGGCGGCCGCUUAAGUAGGGUGUGAAAUGUCCCGGCUCAACCGGGGAAUGGCGCUCUAAACUGGGUGGCUCGAGUGAGAUAGAGGUGUGCGGAACUUCCGGUGGAGCGGUGAAAUGUGUUGAUAUCGGAGGGAACACCAUUGGCGAAAGCGGCACACUGGGUCUUAACUGACGCUGAGGCACGAAAGCCAGGGGAAGGCAAACG